Molecule: non-coding RNA, 843 nt
Organism: Cajanus cajan (pigeon pea)
Lineage: Eukaryota; Viridiplantae; Streptophyta; Magnoliopsida; Fabales; Fabaceae
Source: RefSeq, a predicted model, not a curated record
GAGAGUUGGGUGAGAAUGGGAAUAGCAGGUAGGGUUGGGGAAGUGCUUUCAAGGCAUUCACCGCCACACUCGGAAUCGCCACCAUUUACCUCACCGCCACCUUCUCCGUCAACGUUUACAGAGGCCUCUCUUGGCACAAUGCUCAAACCGGGGAUAAAACUAAAAUUCCUAGAAUUAUUGAAGGUGCUUCUGAAGGCAAGGGACGUGGGAGGCAGGUUAUUGCUGUUGCUAAAUCUUCAGACAUAGUACUGAUGGUUCUUGAUGCUUCCAAAGAAACAUAUGAAGAAUCAAUGACACAAAAAUAUGGAGAAGACACUUCAUCUCAUCCUGUAAUUGAUUCUGAUCUUUGGUUAAAAGCUGCAGGUGAAAACAAGAAGAAAAGAGUGCAUGGCAUGGGACAUAGCUUGGAUCUUGGAACUAGUAGCUCUACCCAAGCUUCAUCUCCAGAGGUUGCAGGUUCCUCUACAAAUCUUACGCCUAUGACAGAAGAACGGGUCACUACAGUUAUAAAUAAUGCAUUGACCUCUUUUUUGCAAACACAAUUACCAGAGAUGAUGAGGCAAAUAAUUCAGGCAGUUCAACCAUCAACAACACCAUCAACCAACCAACAUAGGGAGGAUCAAGGACGAGAUGAUGAUUUUACUAGCUUAGGUUGAUUACUAUUUAGGAUGACUCGUUAUUUGACCUCUUUUUGUAAGACAUUAAUUAGUUUGGGUUUCUUUAAGAUAGUAUGCACAAGUUGGAUUUUGUAAGACAUUUAACAAUUUGGUUUUGUAAGAGAUAUUGUUACAUGCAACUUUUAUUUUAAAUUAUGUCGAAUUGAAAAAAAUUUAUGUAGUUGAA